GAUAGUACUCAACGGCGCAUCACGCCUGUAAUAAAAAUUUCUAAAACGAAAUUUAAGUUAAAAGUUUGGUGUCAUAUAUGGGCGAGGCGCUAUGCGGGGUCGUCGACGCAUCGACGAUUCGAGUUAAACCAUAUUGUUUUCUGUCGAGUUCAUUUCGAAUAUUUGGAAGUGAAGUGCAUGGUGACAAAAAGGAGACUUUUAUAUUUUUAAAGUGAGCUUUCGCAUAUCCGUCAUAAAAGGAGCUUUAUCUUGGGGGUUUUUCUAAAGUCAAGAAGUAAUGCAAGUUUAGUGUGCGUGCUGGAAGUUAGUGUGCAUAUAUACAUAAGUAUAUGUUACAAUUCAAGGCCAUAAAGUUGUAGACACCCAUCUUCUCUCUUUCACAUAUACAUUUGUCUGCCAGCA
Molecule: long non-coding RNA, 402 nt
Organism: Leptopilina heterotoma
Lineage: Eukaryota; Metazoa; Arthropoda; Insecta; Hymenoptera; Figitidae
Exons: 3
Source: RefSeq, a predicted model, not a curated record